CUGUGUAAAUCCUGGAUCCACCAUUUACCAGCUGUGUAACCCUGGACAACAAUUCCAUCUUUCUGACCUCCGUGUCUUUCUCUGCAAAACAGCGGUAAGAAUGAUCCUACUUCAAUAGAGUUGCUGUGAGGAUUCACUGAGAUCAUGUGUACCAAGCUCCUACAAUAGUACUGAACCCACAGCCAUGGAUCAAGACCAUUAACUUAUAAUCAGUGAUAUCCAAGAGGAUGGGAAGAGAAUAUUAAGCCUGGUGCUCUGCAAAUUAAUACUUGCAGCUUAAAAAUACGCUGGACAUGCGACAAUGGUGCUGAGUACUUUGGGGGAAGAUCACAACAGUCUUGGUAGCGGUGUCACAGCAAAAUAUUUCAGAGGUACCAGAUGAGCUAGCUCCAAGGCAAAUGAGGCAAUAUUAUGUUUAACUGUUUGUUCGGAAACUUCUUUUAUUAAAAAAGAUUUUAAAUAUUAAUGCUAUUUUCAAUACAGGUGUGAUAACACUCAAUAAAGCAUGGUGUACUUGAUAU
This 521-nucleotide non-coding RNA is filed under the name Pan troglodytes (chimpanzee). The record is from RNAcentral. Lineage: Eukaryota; Metazoa; Chordata; Mammalia; Primates; Hominidae.